This 253-nucleotide ribosomal RNA is filed under the name uncultured bacterium. Its description in RNAcentral is "partial 16S ribosomal RNA". It matches the Rfam family "Bacterial small subunit ribosomal RNA", at positions 524 to 776 of the family's 1533-position model. The record is from RNAcentral.
UACGUACGAGGCGAGCGUUAUCCGGAAUUACUGGGCGUAAAGCGCGCGCAGGUGGCUAGUUAAGUGAGACGUGAAAUCUCCCGGCCUAACUGGGAGGGGUCGUUUCAAACUGGGUAGCUUGAGGACUGCAGAGGUGGGUGGAAUUCCUGGUGUAGUGGUGAAAUGCGUAGAGAUCAGGAGGAACACCGGUGGCGAAGGCGGCCCACUGGGCAGUCACUGACGCUGAGGCGCGAAAGCUCGGGGAGCGAACGGG